AUUUUUAACUCUAAAUCUUGGUUUCUGGCUUCCUGUGGCAUUGCCUGAGGGCAGAUUAAACCUGGAAGUUAGGGGAGAAGACCUGACCUCUGGAGAGCUGGCCCAAAAGGGAAUGGGCUGACUCCAAGCUGCCUCAACAUGGUAGUUUUGCCAAAUUUGGUAUCCUAGAGCAGAGGCUGAACAAUCUCUUUGGGUGAAACAGGGGUUGCAGAUCGAGUUUCCCAGACAGCUUCAGGAUGGAUUAAAAGAAACGGCCCCUAGGGGCCCUGACCAGAGAAUCUCUGACUUGGGGACAGACACACAAACUCAGACCAAGGCAGUGAGGGAGACCCAUUCCUGGACUUGCUUCCAAGUGGGCACAGAGUGA
Molecule: long non-coding RNA, 367 nt
Filed under: Monodelphis domestica (gray short-tailed opossum)
Lineage: Eukaryota; Metazoa; Chordata; Mammalia; Didelphimorphia; Didelphidae
Description: lncRNA (ENSMODG00000041895.1)
Source: RNAcentral